CCUACGGGAGGCAGCAGUGGGGAAUAUUGGGCAAUGGGCGCAAGCCGGACCCAGCAACGCCGCGUGAAGGAAGAAGGCUUUCAGGUUGUAAACUUCUUUUCUGAGGGGCGAAGAAAGUGACGGUACCUAAGGAAUAAGCCAAGGCUAACUACGAGCCAGCAGCCGCGGUAAUACGGAGGGGGCAAGGGUUAUCCGGAUUUAUUGGGUGUAAAGGGCGUGUAGGCGGUAAAGCAAGUCAGAUGGGAAAGCUCGGGUCUCAACCCUGAGCCUGCCUUUGAAAAUGUUUUGCUUGAGUGCUGGAGAGGCAAUCGGAAUUCCGUGUGUAGCGGUGAAAUGCGUAGAUAUACGGAGGAACACCAGUGGCGAAGGCGGAUUGCUGGACAGUAACUGACGCUGAGGCGCGAAAGCGUGGGGAGCAAACAGGAUUAGAUACCCCUGUAGUC
RNAcentral lists this ribosomal RNA (443 nucleotides) under uncultured bacterium. Its description in RNAcentral is "partial 16S ribosomal RNA". It matches the Rfam family "Bacterial small subunit ribosomal RNA", at positions 338 to 795 of the family's 1533-position model. The record is from RNAcentral.